UACAGAGGUGGCAAGCGUUGUUCGGAAUUACUGGGCGUAAAGGGCGCGUAGGCGGCCUGUUAAGUCGAACGUGAAAUCCCCGGGCUCAACCCGGGAACUGCGUCCGAAACUGGCAGGCUCGAAUUCGGGAGAGGGAUGCGGAAUUCCAGGUGUAGCGGUGAAAUGCGUAGAUAUCUGGAGGAACAUCGGUGGCGAAGGCGGCAUCCUGGACCGAUAUUGACGCUGAGGCGCGAAAGCCAGGGGAGCAAACGGG
RNAcentral lists this ribosomal RNA (253 nucleotides) under uncultured bacterium. RNAcentral describes it as "partial 16S ribosomal RNA". It matches the Rfam family "Bacterial small subunit ribosomal RNA", at positions 524 to 776 of the family's 1533-position model. The record is from RNAcentral.